GCCAGUGUGGUGUAGUGGUUUGAGUGUUGGGACUACGAUUCUAGAGAUCAGGGUUCAAAUCCCAGCUUGGCCA
Non-coding RNA from Phrynosoma platyrhinos (Desert horned lizard), 73 nucleotides. Lineage: Eukaryota; Metazoa; Chordata; Lepidosauria; Squamata; Phrynosomatidae. The record is from the annotation of a GenBank genome assembly.